Molecule: long non-coding RNA, 262 nt
Filed under: Brassica napus (rape)
Lineage: Eukaryota; Viridiplantae; Streptophyta; Magnoliopsida; Brassicales; Brassicaceae
Description: long non-coding RNA (BNAP_LNC000041)
Source: RNAcentral
UUUCUAUUACCAGUUGGAUCAGAUUCUUCUUCCUCUCUGAACAACAACAACACAAACUUUUCUCCUUCCUUUCUUCUUUUAUCUUUACCACUUUCGCACAUUCUCUCUAGAGCAAAACAACAUGACUCGCUCCUCUAGAUUCCUCGGAUCCGCGGCGGCGCCACCACCGCCGGAAGAAAUCCUCGCCGCGGAAACCGACAUGAUUGUGAUCCUCUCAGCUCUUCUCUGCGCUCUCAUAUGCGUAGCCGGCUUAGCCGCCGUG